RNAcentral lists this ribosomal RNA (556 nucleotides) under uncultured Bacteroidota bacterium. RNAcentral describes it as "bacterial SSU rRNA". It matches the Rfam family "Bacterial small subunit ribosomal RNA", at positions 334 to 893 of the family's 1533-position model. Lineage: Bacteria; Pseudomonadati; Bacteroidota. The record is from RNAcentral.
CCCGCCUACGGAAGGCAGCAGUGGGGAAUCUUGCACAAUGGGGUCACCCCUGAUGCAGCCAUGCCGCGUGGAGGAAGACACCCCUAUGGGGCGUAAACUCCUUUUCUGAAUGAAGAAACCCCUGUAGGUUCAGGGCGCGACGGUAGUUCAGGAAUAAGCACCGGCUAACUCCGUGCCAGCAGCCGCGGUAAUACGGAGGGUGCAAGCGUUGUCCGGAAUCACUGGGUGUAAAGGGUGUGCAGGCGGGGCAACAAGUCGGAUGUGAAACCCCAUGGCUCAACCAUGGAGGUGCAUUCGAAACUGUUGCUCUUGGUCCCGGAGAGGCUGUCGGAAUUCGUGGUGUAGCGGUGAAAUGCGUAGAUAUCACGAGGAACACCAGAGGCGAAAGCGGGCAGCUGGACGGGUACUGACGCUCAGGCACGAAAGCGUGGGGAGCAAACAGGAUUAGAUACCCUGGUAGUCCACGCCGUAAACGAUGAACGCUCGCCGUUGCCCCGUCAAGGGGCAGUGGCUAAGUUAACGCGUUAAGCGUCCACCUGGGGAGUCGUUGACAUGG